Molecule: ribosomal RNA, 345 nt
Filed under: Triticum aestivum (bread wheat)
Lineage: Eukaryota; Viridiplantae; Streptophyta; Magnoliopsida; Poales; Poaceae
Description: partial small subunit ribosomal RNA
Source: RNAcentral
AUGCUGCGAAUGGGAUUGAUCGUUCCCAGUACUAGUCCUUUCUCGUCUCCGGUACUUCUGGUCAAGAAAAAGGAUCUGACAUGGCGUUUCUGUGUGGAUUUUCGCCAUCUGAAUGCGAUUACAGUGAAGUCCAGCUAUCCUAUGCCCGUCAUUGACGAGUUGCUCGAUGAGCUCGCAGGAUCACACUGGUUCUCCAAGCUAGAUUUGAGGGCAGGAUACCACCAAAUCCGGCUCUUGCCAGAAGAUGAACACAAAACAGCGUUCAAGACGCACCAAGGGCACUUUCAGUUUCGCGUUCUUCCUUAUGGAGUGACGGGUGGCCCUCCCACUUUCCAAGGAGGAAUG